Long non-coding RNA from Myotis daubentonii (Daubenton's bat), 871 nucleotides. RefSeq lists it as uncharacterized. The record is from RefSeq and is a predicted model, not a curated record. NCBI's taxonomy places the organism in Eukaryota, Metazoa, Chordata, Mammalia, Chiroptera, Vespertilionidae.
GCACACCCCGGCCCACCUGCUCGCCGGCACCCACACACACUUUCCUAUCCCGCACAGCGGAAAUAAAACCGGUUCUCUCAGCCGAACCCCCAGGUCCGAGUCAGAAGAACGGACGCCGGAUGCCCUCCCCCUUGGCAGAACUCUCUUCUAUUCCGCGCCCCCCCCCCCCCAGGAGGUUCCCUCACAAGCCGAGGCCGGGAACCUGAAGAGAGGCUAAGGAGAUACAAAAGUGAAUGGACUCAGCAACCAGUGGAGCCUCCUGUGACUGGCAGCAGGAACUCCUUGACCUCUGGCACAAACAUCCAGAAUUGGGUUCCAGUCAGUUGGUACAGGAAGAAGGGAGAGAAUGGAAAGGAGGAAGAGAGACAGAGACAGAGAGACAUCCACUGGUUGCAUCCUGCAUGCCCCCACCAGGGCCAGGAAUCAAGCCUACAACCAACAUACGUGGUCUACCUUCACCUGGCUUCCUCUCCCCUCUACCAGGGUUACGUUUGAACCUGCUCACAAUUCCCACUCUCUUUUCCAGCAUUUAUCCCUUUUUAAUGUCUUCAAAUACAGUCUGUCUCCUCCAUUAGAUUGUAAGCUGCAUGGGUGAGGAGCAGUAAUCUGUGUUGUUCACUGCUGUGUCCCUAGCACCUAGCAACGGGCCUCAAUAAAUAUGUGCUGCCUGAAUGAAUGAAUGAAUGAAUAAAUAAAUGAGUGGAUUCCUUAAUCUUUAAGAUAAUAAAAAUGGUCUAGAAGAGAAAGUUCUUCAGAUAAAUCCUCCAAGGUUAUACCCCAAGGUUGUGUUCACAGCACCCAGCAGCAAUUUGCAUUGCAGUCUUAAUCUGGGCCAGACCAGGCAUUCCUGAGGAGAAAAACAAAGCAGACA